This 377-nucleotide ribosomal RNA is filed under the name uncultured archaeon. RNAcentral's name for it is "bacterial SSU rRNA". It matches the Rfam family "Archaeal small subunit ribosomal RNA", at positions 486 to 863 of the family's 1478-position model. The record is from RNAcentral.
GAGUGGUCGGGACGUUUAUUGGGUCUAAAGCGUCCGUAGCCGGCUUACUAAGUCUCCGGCUAAAACCCACGGCUCAACCGUGGGAUCGCCGAAGAUACUGAUAGGCUUGGGGGCGGAAGAGGCCGAGGGUACUUCCGGGGUAGGGGCGAAAUCCUAUAAUCCCGGAAGGACCACCAGUGGCGAAGGCGCUCGGCUAGUACGCGCCCGACGGUGAGGGACGAAAGCUGGGGGAGCGAACCGGAUUAGAUACCCGGGUAGUCCCAGCUGUAAACGAUGCAGACUAGGUGUUGGAUAGGCUUCGAGCCUAUCCAGUGCCGCAGUGAAGACAAUAAGUCUGCCACCUGGGGAGUACGGCCGCAAGGCUGAAACUUAAAGGA